Molecule: unclassified non-coding RNA, 226 nt
Filed under: Hevea brasiliensis (rubber tree)
Lineage: Eukaryota; Viridiplantae; Streptophyta; Magnoliopsida; Malpighiales; Euphorbiaceae
Source: RNAcentral
UGUGAUUGUGGCCUUGAGAAUGAAAAUCAAUUGUUUUUAAAUAAAGAAACAAAAUUAGGAAGUCAUGUGUGUUAUUAGAUUAUUUUUGUAGUUGAUGAAUCUAGAAUACUGGUCAGAAUCUGUUGAUAGAUUUUAUCUGGCUGUUUAUUUGGUGCUAAUUUUCCUUUCAUGCUAAUUGAAGAAUUAGAUUGUAAUGCCUAUCGUAUAGCUUUCCUCUGAGCACUUG